UCAGAGAGAUAUAACAUAGCAAUAGAUAUGUAUUACAUAGCCGAGAGAUCUAACAUACCAAUAACAUAGUCAAGGAGAUAUAACAUAGCAACAUCAUUCCCACAGUGUACACAGCCAUAUACACUCUGUACAUCAUUCUACCGCCAAACAUAAUACGUAUGUCAUAACAUAGCAGACACAGUUUAGUACUUAGACUAACUUAUCGGGCAGUAUUGCCAAUAUUUGAAGCCUAAUCCCUAAACCACCCUUAGCCCCAAAAAAGUAGAACACCACUAUCAUUGUUUGCCCUAAUCAAACCAGUCGACCCAGGAUUCCUAAACCCCAAAAUAAUACAUCAUUCCACCCCCAACUUCCUUACUGCGUGUGUCCUCCCCUGAAGACACGCAGCUUCAACCUUGUCACAUGCGACGUUACUAGGGUACGAAUGACGGGUCCUGCAGACCCCGUCGCCACACUUGCUGUCGGAGACGGGACUGCUGCAUUGGAACUGGAUGUGACAUCUCCCCUCUCCGUCUAUUUAGA
This 522-nucleotide long non-coding RNA is filed under the name Linum usitatissimum (flax). RNAcentral describes it as "long non-coding RNA (LUSI_LNC006927)". Lineage: Eukaryota; Viridiplantae; Streptophyta; Magnoliopsida; Malpighiales; Linaceae. The record is from RNAcentral.